GCUCAAGUGUCCGAGUGGUUAAGGAGACAGACUUGAAUCUCUUCGUUCAAUGGCAUCUGUUACGCUUUGCGUGCGCAGGUUCAAAUCCUGUCUUGAGCG
RNAcentral lists this transfer RNA (99 nucleotides) under Rhodotorula toruloides. Its description in RNAcentral is "tRNA-Ser". It matches the Rfam family "tRNA". Rfam says of the family: Transfer RNA (tRNA) molecules are approximately 80 nucleotides in length. The record is from RNAcentral. Lineage: Eukaryota; Fungi; Basidiomycota; Microbotryomycetes; Sporidiobolales; Sporidiobolaceae.